AGAAAUACUUAGGAAUCUACCUAGUAGUGGGGGAUAGCUCGGGGAAACUCGAAUUAAUACCGCAUACGACCUACGGGAGAAAGGGGGCAACUUGUUGCUCUCGCUAUUAGAUGAGCCUAAGUCGGAUUAGCUAGAUGGUGGGGUAAAGGCCUACCAUGGCGACGAUCUGUAGCUGGUCUGAGAGGAUGAUCAGCCACACCGGGACUGAGACACGGCCCGGACUCCUACGGGAGGCAGCAGUGGGGAAUAUUGGACAAUGGGGGAAACCCUGAUCCAGCCAUGCCGCGUGUGUGAAGAAGGCCUUUUGGUUGUAAAGCACUUUAAGCAGUGAAGAAGACUCUUCGGUUAAUACCCGGAGACGAUGACAUUAGCUGCAGAAUAAGCACCGGCUAACUCUGUGCCAGCAGCCGCGGUAAUACAGAGGGUGCAAGCGUUAAUCGGGAAUUACUGGAGCGUAAAGCGAGCGUAGGUGGCUUGAUAAGUCAGAUGUGAAAUCCCCGGGCUUAACCUGGGAACUGCAUCUGGAUACUGUCAGGCUAGAGUAGGUGGAGA
RNAcentral lists this ribosomal RNA (552 nucleotides) under Psychrobacter sp. MSSRF.22. RNAcentral's name for it is "bacterial SSU rRNA". It matches the Rfam family "Bacterial small subunit ribosomal RNA", at positions 109 to 656 of the family's 1533-position model. The record is from RNAcentral. Lineage: Bacteria; Pseudomonadati; Pseudomonadota; Gammaproteobacteria; Moraxellales; Moraxellaceae.